ACACCAGCUCUCCGAGUGGUGGGGACAAUUAUUGGGCCUAAAGCAUUCGUAGCCGGCCGGAUAAGUCCUCUGUUAAAGCCAACGAUUUAAUCGUUGGACUGCGGGGGAUACUGUUCGGCUAGGAGACGGGAGAAGCCGACGGUAUUCCCAGGGUAGGGGUGAAAUCCUGUAAUCCUGGGAAGACCACCAGUGGCGAAGGCUGUCGGCUAGAACGCGCUCGACGGUGAGGGAUGAAAGCUAGGGUAGCGAACCGGAUUAGAUACCCGUGUAGUCC
RNAcentral lists this ribosomal RNA (274 nucleotides) under uncultured bacterium. Its description in RNAcentral is "partial 16S ribosomal RNA". It matches the Rfam family "Archaeal small subunit ribosomal RNA", at positions 473 to 747 of the family's 1478-position model. The record is from RNAcentral.